GCAUAUCAAUAAGCGGAGGAAAAGAAACCAACAGGGAUUGCCCCAGUAACGGCGAGUGAAGMGGCAACWGCUCAAAUUUGAAAUCUGGCCCUUUCGGGUCCGAGUUGUAAUUUGUAGAGGAUGCUUUUGGCAAGGCGCCGCCCGAGUUCCCUGGAACGGGACGCCACAGAGGGUGAGAGCCCCGUCUGGCUGGCCGCCGAGCCUCUGUAAAGCUCCUUCGACGAGUCGAGUAGUUUGGGAAUGCUGCUCAAAAUGGGAGGUAUAUGUCUUCUAAAGCUAAAUAUUGGCCAGAGACCGAUAGCGCACAAGUAGAGUGAUCGAAAGAUGAAAAGCACCUUGAAAAGAGGGUUAAAUAGUACGUGAAAUUGUUGAAAGGGAAGCGCUUGUGACCAGACUUGGGCGCGGCGGAUCAUCCGGGGUUCUCCCCGGUGCACUUCGCCGUGUCCAGGCCAGCAUCAGUUCGUCGCGGGGGAAAAAGGCUUCGGGAACGUGGCUCCCCUGGGAGUGUUAUAGCCCGUUGCAUAAUACCCUGCGGUGGACUGAGGACCGCGCAUCUGCAAGGAUGCUGGCGUAAUGGUCACCAGCGACCCGUCUUGAAACACGGACCAAGGAGUCGUCUUCGUAUGCGAGUGUUCGGGUGUCAAACCCCUACGCGUAAUGAAAGUGAACGCAGGUGAGAGCUUCGGCGCAUCAUCGACCGAUCCUGAUGUUCUCGGAUGGAUUUGAGUAAGAGCAUACGGGGCCGGACCCGAAAGAAGGUGAACUAUGCCUGUAUAGGGUGAAGCCAGAGGAAACUCUGGUGGAGGCUCGCAGCGGUUCUSACGUGCAAAUCGAUCGUCAAAUAUGGGCAUGGGGGCGAAAGACUAAUCGAACCUUCUAGUAGCUGGUUUCCGCCGAAG
This 899-nucleotide ribosomal RNA is filed under the name Trichoderma reesei. Its description in RNAcentral is "LSU rRNA". It matches the Rfam family "Eukaryotic large subunit ribosomal RNA", at positions 38 to 966 of the family's 3401-position model. The record is from RNAcentral. Lineage: Eukaryota; Fungi; Ascomycota; Sordariomycetes; Hypocreales; Hypocreaceae.